This is a long non-coding RNA of Gavialis gangeticus (Gharial), 4973 nucleotides long. RefSeq lists it as uncharacterized. The transcript is spliced from 3 exons. NCBI's taxonomy places the organism in Eukaryota, Metazoa, Chordata, Crocodylia, Gavialidae. The record is from RefSeq and is a predicted model, not a curated record.
AAGAUUCCCUCUUCUACACUGCCAUGCUGCCAGCAGAGAGGUCACUGAAAGCACAGAAGACAGGCUCCUUGCUCUCAGGUCCUGUGCCUGAUCCUACCUUACUCGGAAGCAGUAAAGGAAAAGCCAUUUCAGAGAAAGUCUUUCUGUGCCCUGGAAUGGGACAUAUGAUGCUCAGUCGGCCCCACGGCGUUGUUGCAUGAACAGCCCAGCACUGUUGGGGUGCAAAUGGAUGCCUGCUCAGUCACUCAGAGGAUAGCCUGUGUAUACUUGUCACACUAGGGGCGGAGGGCCUCAAACAUGCUCAAUGUGGAUGACAUCUGCAGAGAUGAGUAGCCGUGACGCUCUUGCGAAUCUCCGCUGUAUGAAACAAUUCUUCAAAGACUUUUCAUCCUGGGAGAAUCUGGCCAUUACAAAGGCCUGCCCCGUGCACUCUCACAUGACAACAGCUUCACCAUAUAAAAACAAUCGUUCCCUGCCCCCAGUAAAUAAUUUUCUGGUUUGAUCUAAUUUUGCAAAUUAUUUCUUAGCUCAGACACUAAGAAAUAAUUUCUUACAAGUGAAAAGCAGAAGUCUCUUGCUGAAAGAAAUUCUGUACCCCUUACUAGGAUUGGAUAAUACUCACUGCAAGGAGACAGUUUGUUUUAGUAGUUAACACACAGACUGCAUCUGGGUUGUGUUCAGUUACUGACUGCGCUCACACCUCAUGAAAACCUGAGCAAAUCUUUCAGUCUUUCCUAUGCUUCAACUUCUCCUAUUUGUAGAACGGAAGUCUUACUAACCGUACUUUCCAGGAUCCUCAGGAGAGCCCUUUGAGAAAAAAAAGCUUGAAGUACAAGAUAUUAUUAAAUCCCCUUGUUUUAUCAGGCUCGUUUCAGAGCAAGGAAAAAGAGUUCAACAUGGGUAGUAUGGUGUGAGCAAAGCUGAUUUAAUAGGUACAAAUACAACGUUAAAAUUAAGCUGGUGGUGUGGAAAUUCCUUUUAACUGACAAAUUAAGUUGAAUGACAAGCAUGAGUUUGUGCAGUAACGUAUCACGCAGAGUGUAAGUGAAGUGUGAGUGGUAUAAAGCACAGUUGGAACAAAUUAGAUUAGCUUUCCCAUGUCGCAUAUUAUUUACCCUGAAGAACCAAAAUAGCUUUGGUAUGAAAUGUUAAACCCAAUUUCCUGCUUUAGUCCAACACAGGAAACCCCCUGCCAUUUAGCUGGAGUUUCUUACUGGAAUGGCACAUUUUCAUUAAAGCAAGAGUUUUGCUCUCUUUAACCAACAGAAUAUCCUCUUCCCCCACUUUUCAAAUGUAAAGUGAGGCUGGGAUGAAUUAGAGGGCAAGAAACAAGAAAAUAAGGGCAAUGUAAAUAUGUAAAUAUAUUAACAGGAACCUUCCUAGGAAACUAUUACACAAACAUCAUGCCACAAAGGCAGUAAUUCCCACACAGCAACACUCUGUUUGUAAUUGCUGGUGACAGGCCCACACAGGGACUUAAUUCACCUUCAAUCCUACCCCAAUUCCACAGCAUGUAAACUCUACAGCAUGCCAUUUAUCUUUCAUGCACAGCAAUAUUGACACACUCCAUCAUAAUCCACCUCGGUAGUGCUGUGCCGCAUUAAUGCUUUUAAAGUAUUUGAACAUCUUUUGAUUCUUAUCAAGACAGGUGUUUGCAGCAACAAGGAAGUGUCUGCUAGAUACAGCCAUGGUUUGAUAGCAGCAUCAACAUCCAGAUGCUGGAUCUUAACCACAGAGAGGUGUGCCUUGGGAUCCAUUCCCAUUCUUCCUUUAGAUCAAGUAUCCCAACUAUGUGGAACUCACAUUCAGUCAAUAGGGUUUUCUUCUCAGAUUGCUAAAUAUGUAUUUAAUUUCUGGGACCAGCAAGAAAAAGGUAAGUUUCACAAAAACAAAAAAUUACCAGCAUGUAGAACAGAUCCACGAUGGCAAGCAUCUAUGACAUGCUGCAAAUCUAGUACUGUAUGAUCAAUUCAGGCAUAAAACAGGUUUCUCUUUCACCUUGCAUGAAAGUUGUGGUCAUGCAAGGGCACCCAUGCCAGCUUAUCAAGAGAUCUUGAGGUUUUGCACUGGCAGCACACUUAUUCACAGUAACAGAGAGCCCAGCACUGAAGUCAGCAGUGAAGUGAGUUGCUAUUGUGCUAAACACAAAUGCAAGAAAUGGAAAUGCACUGUCAUUAACACAGUACCAUGAUUUUUGCAAUGUUAUUUAUUGCACUGGAAUUUAUACUGCUUCCUGAAAUGAGUUUUCAACCUGUCACAGACCUGUUGCUUUCAUCUGUAUUGGCAGUGUUUUUUCUGCCAUCUUUAUUGCCAUUCCAGUCGUCAGAGUCAUCACCUUAGACACUAGACACCCAUGACAAAUUAUUAAAAAGCAAUUUACCAAAGACACUGCAAACUAACAGACUCUCUCUGCACAAAGGAGUGCUUAAAAAGCUGAGGCUUUUCCCCCUUCUCAGUUCCAAUAAAACCCUAAUUCCUCAGCAAACCUGUCAUCCUAGAAGGACUGCCUCUCUUUGGGGUUUUUAUGUUAUAUUUUCACAGCUUUGAAGUCCAAUCUAACAUUUACAAAGUAUUCUUUACUUUUACAUUUCUACCACGUAUUUUGAGCUUGGAUUAUUUAAAGUUCACACAAUUUUUUCAAGUAUUGUUUUGGUAUCUAAAUAUACUGAUCUUCCCCAGGAUUUCUUCUGUUUACCUCCAGUAAUCCCCUUGCCCUCCCAAGAAUUUUCUGUGGGCAUGAUUUUCUUGUUGUGCGUCUAAACACGUUACCUAGGAAGUUGACGUUUAGUUCUUAAGAGGCAGGUGACAUCUUCCUGCAGCUGUCUUUUUGCACUUUUGUAUUUUGUCCUCUCUCUCUGUAGAAUGCAACUGUUGCCCACAUUUUUCAUUCUUUACUAAUACCCAACAUAAGGGCAUCAUAUUUUGGUCAGUAAGAUUAAUAUUGUGGCAGACUCUUUGUGUAACUCAUUAAAACUGUGGUUAAAAGACAAGAUUGUUGCCUAUAAAGGAAUGCUAACUUGUGUUUGGCCUCACAUUAGCACAAAUUGUUUUAAUGCAAUUAAGAUUCAACGAAACACUCAAGGGAAUUGCAUUCGUUUUUUUGCUUUGCCUGCUUGGCAGUUUCCCCGAGGAAGACCUACAAUUCUGCACCAGGCAGGAAGGCUGAGUUAGAAAUUAAUAUUCUUUGACUUCAGUAUUUUGGAGAUUCUAAAAAUCAGAACCAGGAAUUGGCUGGCAUGAAGAACAGCAAAUGCCCUUUGGUCCAUUAUAGAGUAAAACCAGCGCAAAACAUUUAACUUACAACAUAUCCCUGGCUUCUAUUGAUUACAGGGAGAGGAAGAAUUGCAUGUCUUCCUACUCUGUGAACAUACAGGUCACGUUUCAACAGCCCCAACAAGAAUCCAUCUUACUAGAAAAGAAAAUGGCAGAUGUUCAACUUCACUACAGAAGACACAUGCCAAGCAAGCACACCCACGGACCAGGGCAAAGCACCAGCUUUUUGUCCACUUUAGUAACUACCUCCUUCACUGAAACUUGACAGGCCCUUACUUCAGUGGAUCUCUGCCAUUUGCAUGGCUCUAGUUGACCACACUUUCAUAAUAGUAAUCCCAUUUGUUCAAGAACUGGAUUCUCUUUUAUGCAUCUUCUGGUAUCUGUGCUACUUGAGUCUGAUUGAUUUGCAUUUUCAAACUUUUCACUGCCUUUUUUUUUUUUUUAAAUGAAAGCAGAGAUUCUCAUGAGGUCAGCUGGCUCCAAGAGUUGGGGGUUAUAGAGAGAGAGAGAGAGCGAGCAAAAACACACCCUUUUCAGCAAAUACUGUUGAAUUCUCAAUAACGAUGUUUGGUAACCUUGCUUUUUCUCUAAGCUUGUGCGCAAACCUUGACUCUCCACAAUCAGAAAAUAUUCAAAAUGCUUUCCACAUAUAAUAGGUGUCAUUUUGACUUUAUUUAAGGAAAAAUGGGGAAAAACAGUAAUUUCCAUAAUACACAGAAGACAAGUUAGAUAGCACUGCAAAAAAAAGGCUGAGUGUUUACUUGUCACCAGUCUGCUUUGCAGCUCUACGAUUAGUAAUUUUAAUGCAGUUUGUCAUUGUAUUAUUGUUUAGCAUCUUUAUAAAUCAGCAGAGUUUGGGGUUAUAAAUCACAAAAAAGUGUACUAGUACUAAUAUGAAAAACUAAAAAAAAUCCACAAAAAUCACUUUCAAAUAAACCAUAAAUAUGUGAUGCACAUUAGUGUAACAAAACCAUUUUUGUAAACAUUUUCUCCAACAUAACAUGUGCAUAAGAUAAAAAAUAAAACACUGCAGUCAUACAGUUAGGGUUACUUUGACUUAAAAGAUACAGAAAAUUAUUACUUAAAGCUUAAAACUAAAUCUAGGAGCCUUUUUUUCCCUUUGCUUACAAAAGCACUGUUUAAAAGAGUUCAGCAUUUUAUAUGUAGUGGUUUUGUAACACUGAUUUUAAACUUGUAGAUUUGCCACCGCGGCUCUUCUGUGGAGGAGGAAGCUGCCAUCCAGCAUCUCCAGCAAAGGAGUUUCCCUCCAGAACCAUCAGAACUUCCAACAGCAUGUAUCCUUAACCUGGGAAUCCCUAUAGCAUCGCAACAUUUUCACCAACAAGAACAGAAUCAGUUUCCAAGGACUAAAUCCAUUUUUACCACACAGCGCUGCAAGAAUUAAACCAUGCAGGAUGACACUGGAUUGAUGUGUUCCAGCACACUAUCCUACAGGGCCAUUGUGUCAUUGCACCCUAUGAGCACAUUGGUCCUCUGAGUCCCCUUAGAUCUUCGUAAUACAAAGAAGCAAUCGCUCUUCGGGCUGAUUGCAAUUUAGAUACAAAACAAAUGCAUCCCUCAUCCUCGACCUUCAGUGCUAUCCAAAAGUCAAACAAUUAAAAAAAAUAUUUUUAAGUACUCUUCUGCCAGCAAAUGUAAGGCUUUCUUGGUGUUUAAGAACUUAUGUGUGUGUGUGCCUU